AGGAGCUUUGAUAAAACUUAUCUUCUCAGACCUAACAUCAAAACACACCAAAACUGGAUUCAUAGGUGGGGUUGGGCUAUAAGCACCAUAGUAGACAAAACCAUCGAUGCUUACUCCCACAGUUACCGGGCUAAAAGGCGCAUUGGUAACUUCAAUGUGUCUCCAUCCUUGACCACCUCCCCCUAGUGUUAAGACCUUGUGCUCUAGAUUUCUCUUUCUCGACGGCACAGAUACAGACAAUGCUUUUUGUUGAUCAUCAAUCGGAUCGUAUCCCACGAAUCGAGUGUUAACAGGAAACUUAGGACAUCUCCAUCAGUGAGAUACCUUCUUGGUUUCUAAAAAA
Molecule: small RNA, 343 nt
Filed under: Arabidopsis thaliana (thale cress)
Lineage: Eukaryota; Viridiplantae; Streptophyta; Magnoliopsida; Brassicales; Brassicaceae
Description: ATSL022610
Source: RNAcentral